UGUAGUACUGGUGUAAGCGUGUAGGGAGUGGCAUAGGCAAAUCCGUGCCACACAUAUCCUGAGACGUGAUGCGUAGCCGAUUGAGGCGAAUUCAGUGAUCCUAUGCUGCCGAGAAAAGCCUCUAGCGAGUUGGUACACGGCCCGUACCCCAAACCGACACAGGUGGUCAGGUAGAGAAUACUAAGGCGAUCGAGAGAACUGUGGUUAAGGAACUCGGCAAAAUGCCCCCGUAACUUCGGGAGAAGGGGGACCAUGCCCGGUGACGGAAUUUACUUCCCGAGCUGGGGGUGGUCGCAGAGACCAGAGAGAAGCGACUGUUUACUAAAAACACAGGUCCGUGCGAAGUCGUAAGACGAUGUAUACGGACUGACGCCUGCCCGGUGCCGGAAGGUUAAGAGGACCGGUCAGCCCAGUAAUGGGCGAAGCUGAGAAUUUAAGCCCCGGUAAACGGCGGUGGUAACUAUAACCAUCCUAAGGUAGCGAAAUUCCUUGUCGGGUAAGUUCCGACCUGCACGAAUGGCGUAACGACUUCUCUGCUGUCUCAACCACAGACUCGGCGAAAUUGCAUUACGAGUAAAGAUGCUCGUUACGCGCGGCAGGACGAAAAGACCCCGGGACCUUCACUAUAGCUUGGUAUUGGUGUUCGGUACGGUUUGUGUAGGAUAGGUGGGAGACUGUGAAACCCGCACGCCAGUGUGGGUGGAGUCAACGUUGAAAUACCACUCUGAUCGUAUUGGAUAUCUAACCUCGGACCAUGAUCUGGUUCAGGGACAGUGCCUGGUGGGUAGUUUAACUGGGGCGGUUGCCUCCCAAAAUGUAACGGAGGCGCCCAAAGGUUCCCUCAGCCUGGUUGGCAAUCAGGUGUCGAGUGCAAGUGCACAAGGGAGCUUGACUGUGAGACUGACAGGUCGAGCAGGGACGAAAGUCGGGACUAGUGAUCCGGCACCGGCAAGUGGAAGCGGUGUCGCUCAACGGAUAAAAGGUACCCCGGGGAUAACAGGCUGAUCUUCCCCAAGAGUCCAUAUCGACGGGAUGGUUUGGCACCUCGAUGUCGGCUCGUCGCAUCCUGGGGCUGGAGUAGGUCCCAAGGGUUGGGCUGUUCGCCCAUUAAAGCGGCACGCGAGCUGGGUUUAGAACGUCGUGAGACAGUUCGGUCUCUAUCCGCCGCGCGCGUCAGAAACUUGAGGAAGGCUGUCCCUAGUACGAGAGGACCGGGACGGACGAACCUCUGGUGUGCCAGUUGUUCCACCAGGAGCACGGCUGGUUGGCUACGUUCGGAAGGGAUAACCGCUGAAAGCAUCUAAGCGGGAAGCCUGUUCCAAGAUGAAGUUUCUCACCAC
This 1340-nucleotide ribosomal RNA is filed under the name metagenome. RNAcentral describes it as "bacterial LSU rRNA". It matches the Rfam family "Bacterial large subunit ribosomal RNA", at positions 1500 to 2820 of the family's 2925-position model. The record is from RNAcentral.